This 64-nucleotide transfer RNA is filed under the name Deltocephalinae sp. EMHAU-2015-Zz052318. RNAcentral's name for it is "tRNA-Thr". The record is from RNAcentral. Lineage: Eukaryota; Metazoa; Arthropoda; Insecta; Hemiptera; Cicadellidae.
GUUUUAAUAAUUUAAUAAUAAAAUAUUAGUCUUGUAAACUAAAAAUAGAGUAAACUUUAAAACU